GGGGGGUUAGUUCAGCUGGUUAGAACGUCGGCCUGUCACGCCGAAGGUCACGGGUUCAAGUCCCGUACCCCUCG
Molecule: transfer RNA, 74 nt
Filed under: Myxococcota bacterium
Lineage: Bacteria; Pseudomonadati; Myxococcota
Description: tRNA-Asp
Rfam family: tRNA
About the family: Transfer RNA (tRNA) molecules are approximately 80 nucleotides in length. Their secondary structure includes four short double-helical elements and three loops (D, anti-codon, and T loops). Further hydrogen bonds mediate the characteristic L-shaped molecular structure. tRNAs have two regions of fundamental functional importance: the anti-codon, which is responsible for specific mRNA codon recognition, and the 3' end, to which the tRNAs corresponding amino acid is attached (by aminoacyl-tRNA synthetases). tRNAs cope with the degeneracy of the genetic code in two manners: having more than one tRNA (with a specific anti-codon) for a particular amino acid; and 'wobble' base-pairing, i.e. permitting non-standard base-pairing at the 3rd anti-codon position.
Source: RNAcentral